GACGAACGCUGGCGGCGUGCUUAACACAUGCAAGUCGAACGGAAAGGCCCUGCUUUUGUGGGGUGCUCGAGUGGCGAACGGGUGAGUAACACGUGAGUAACCUGCCCUUGACUUUGGGAUAACUUCAGGAAACUGGGGCUAAUACCGGAUAGGAGCUACUGCUGCAUGGUGGGGGUUGGAAAGUUUCGGCGGUUGUGGAUGGACUCGCGGCUUAUCAGCUUGUUGGUGGGGUAGUGGCUUACCAAGGCUUUGACGGGUAGCCGGCCUGGGAGGGUGACCGGCCACAUUGGGACUGAGAUACGGCCCAGACGCCUACGGGAGGCAGAAGUGGGGAGCAUGGCACAAUGGGCGGAAGCCUGAUGCAGCAGCGCCGCGUGCGGGAUGACGGCCUUCGGGUUGUAAACCGCUUUCGCCUGUGACGAAGCGUGAGUGACGGUAAUGGGUAAAGAAGCACCGGCUAACUACGUG
Molecule: ribosomal RNA, 468 nt
Filed under: uncultured bacterium
Lineage: Bacteria
Description: partial 16S ribosomal RNA
Rfam family: Bacterial small subunit ribosomal RNA
Source: RNAcentral